AUCCUACGGGAGGCAGCAGUGGGGAAUAUUGCACAAUGGGCGCAAGCCUGAUGCAGCCAUGCCGCGUGUAUGAAGAAGGCCUUCGGGUUGUAAAGUACUUUCAGCAGUGAGGAAGUGGGUAUGUAAUAGCAUAUUCAUUUGACGUUAGCUGCAGAAGAAGCACCGGCUAACUCCGUGCCAGCAGCCGCGGUAAUACGGAGGGUGCGAGCGUUAAUCGGAAUUACUGGGCGUAAAGCGCAUGCAGGUGGUUUGUUAAGUCAGAUGUGAAAGCCCGGGGCUCAACCUCGGAAUUGCAUUUGAAACUGGCAAACUAGAGUACUGUAGAGGGGGUAGAAUUUCAGGUGUAGCGGUGAAAUGCGUAGAGAUCUGAAGGAAUACCGGUGGCGAAGGCGGCCCCCUGGACAGAUACUGACACUCAGAUGCGAAAGCGUGGGGAGCAAACAGGAUUAGAUACCCUGGUAG
This 462-nucleotide ribosomal RNA is filed under the name uncultured bacterium. Its description in RNAcentral is "bacterial SSU rRNA". It matches the Rfam family "Bacterial small subunit ribosomal RNA", at positions 335 to 793 of the family's 1533-position model. The record is from RNAcentral.